Molecule: ribosomal RNA, 450 nt
Filed under: uncultured bacterium
Lineage: Bacteria
Description: bacterial SSU rRNA
Rfam family: Bacterial small subunit ribosomal RNA
Source: RNAcentral
GUCGAGAAUUUUUCUCAAUGGGGGAAACCCUGAAGGAGCGACGCCGCGUGGAGGAUGAAGGUCUUCGGAUUGUAAACUCCUGUCAUUGGUGAACAAGGUCUACCGGGUAACUACCGGUGGGAUUGAUAGUAGCCGAAGAGGAAGAGACGGCUAACUCUGUGCCAGCAGCCGCGGUAAUACAGAGGUCUCAAGCGUUGUUCGGAUUCAUUGGGCGUAAAGGGUGCGUAGGCGGCGAGGCAAGUCUGGUGUGAAAUCCCGGGGCUCAACCCCGGAACUGCACUGGAUACUGCUUUGCUAGAGUACUGGAGAGGGAACUGGAAUUUACGGUGUAGCAGUGAAAUGCGUAGAUAUCGUAAGGAAGACCAGCGGCGAAGGCGAGUUCCUGGACAGUUACUGACGCUGAGGCACGAAGGCCAGGGGAGCAAACGGGAUUAGAAACCCUAGUAGUCC